AGCUUUGCGCAGUGGCAGUAUCGUAGCCAAUGAGGUUUAUCCGAGGCAUGAUUAUUGCUAAUUGAAUGUAAUUAAACCAUUGCCAAUAUAUAUAUUUUUAAACAGAUCAUUAUUUUCAAUAUUAUGUUAUUAUU
Small nuclear RNA from Lontra canadensis (Northern American river otter), 134 nucleotides. RefSeq annotates it as U4 spliceosomal RNA. The transcript has a single exon. The record is from RefSeq and is a predicted model, not a curated record. Lineage: Eukaryota; Metazoa; Chordata; Mammalia; Carnivora; Mustelidae.